This 377-nucleotide ribosomal RNA is filed under the name uncultured bacterium. Its description in RNAcentral is "bacterial SSU rRNA". It matches the Rfam family "Bacterial small subunit ribosomal RNA", at positions 790 to 1167 of the family's 1533-position model. The record is from RNAcentral.
GUAGUCCACGCCGUAAACGAUGAAUACUAGGUGUAGGGGGUAUCGACCCCUCCUGUGCCGCAGUUAACACAAUAAGUAUUCCACCUGGGGAGUACGGCCGCAAGGUUGAAACUCAAAGGAAUUGACGGGGGCCCGCACAAGCAGUGGAGUAUGUGGUUUAAUUCGAAGCAACGCGAAGAACCUUACCAGGGCUUGACAUGUAUGGAAGGCCUGCGAGAGCAGGCUGUGCCUUCGGGAACCAUAACACAGGUGGUGCAUGGUUGUCGUCAGCUCGUGUCGUGAGAUGUUGGGUUAAGUCCCGCAACGAGCGCAACCCUUACUGUUAGUUGCUACCAUUUAGUUGAGCACUCUAACGGGACUGCCGUUGACAAAACGGA